This 104-nucleotide small nuclear RNA is filed under the name Meriones unguiculatus (Mongolian gerbil). Lineage: Eukaryota; Metazoa; Chordata; Mammalia; Rodentia; Muridae. The record is from RNAcentral.
UUGCUUGCUCCAGCAGCACAUAUACUAAAAUUGUGAUGAUGCAGAGAUUAGCACGGCCUCUGUGUGAAGAUGGCUUGCAAAUCUGUGAAAUGUUUCAUACUUUA